Molecule: long non-coding RNA, 257 nt
Filed under: Daucus carota (carrot)
Lineage: Eukaryota; Viridiplantae; Streptophyta; Magnoliopsida; Apiales; Apiaceae
Description: long non-coding RNA (DCAR_LNC004892)
Source: RNAcentral
AGGUAAGUACAGAGUUCAUUGUCAUUUUAUUAAAUUGAAUUGAGUGCUCUCAACCAAAAUUAAUAUUGAGAUGGAUGUUAUAAUACACAAUCUUAUUUUUAGAUCGUUUCCUGAAGAACUGUGGCUUUGGCUAUUGUAAUUUUUUUCAAAUUUAUAGAAACUGAACGAAAUGUAAGUUGAAAAUUGGAGAACGGAUCCAAAUAUGUGAUCAUUAUUUUAAGGCUUUUAAAGUAUUAAGAGUUAAUGCCAUCUUAAAC